Molecule: ribosomal RNA, 325 nt
Filed under: uncultured Clavulina
Lineage: Eukaryota; Fungi; Basidiomycota; Agaricomycetes; Cantharellales; Hydnaceae
Description: eukaryotic LSU rRNA
Source: RNAcentral
AACGCACCUUGCGCUCCCUGGUAUUCCGGGGAGCACGCCUGUUCGAGUGUCGUGAAUACCUCAAGCUGGAUGCUUUAUUGCUAUCUACUGCUUGGAUUUGGACUUUGCCGUCGGCCUUUGUUGGUGAUGGCUUGUCUUAAAUGCAUUAGCUGACCCAUGUUGUGUGUUUGGUUCUACUCGGUGUGAUAAUUAUCUGACCGCUGAGGACAUCUGCCUUGUGUGGGUGGCCAAAUAUGCCUUGGAUUGCUUCUAAUCUGUACGCUUUCACAAGCGACGCUCUUUCAAUUUUGACCUCGAAUCAGGUGGGACUACCCGCUGAACUUAA